RNAcentral lists this transfer RNA (63 nucleotides) under pig gut metagenome. It matches the Rfam family "tRNA", at positions 5 to 66 of the family's 71-position model. From Rfam's summary of the family: Transfer RNA (tRNA) molecules are approximately 80 nucleotides in length. Their secondary structure includes four short double-helical elements and three loops (D, anti-codon, and T loops). The record is from RNAcentral.
CUUUGGCGCAACGGCAGCGCGGCUGAUUUGUAAUCAGCAGGCUGCGGGUUCAAAUCCCGCAGG